UAAAAUAGACUAGUGGCGGAAGAAUAUUUUGGUUAAUGUAUAUAGCCAUGCGAAAAUGGCUUAUAUAUGUUUGAGUGUAAUGUUAUAAUCAUUUGGUAUGGAAUGGUUAAUCACUAUCAUAAUUUGUGCUAUUUAUGCUAAAAGGGCUAGUUGAAUCAUGGAAACUAUGAAAUAGGUAAAGUCUACCUUAAAGGCAGAUGCUGGCAGCAGCAGUGAUGUAGAUUUGGAAAAUCACUAAAAAUAGUAGGAUUGGAAUUAAAUAAUGAAUAAACUAUGUAAACUAACCUUGAUGAAUCUAUUUUCAUAGAAAAGUAACGAAACGAUCAUAUGGACAGUAUGUUAAGAGAUAUUCAGGUUCUCGUGAGACAGGGCCAGAACGGUUUCUGGAUUCCCUGUUCCGACUUUGGAAAUUCAUUAUAAGUUAACCAGAGAUAAUUAUGAGUCAUGCGAUAUAUGUAUAGAUUCCUCUCUGAGUCUAGUUUCUAUAGAAACAAACGGCAUCAGUAUUGAAGCUCUGUACAGGGAGAUAUCCAAGUCGUAAUGCGCAAAGGUCAGUGUAGUCGAUCCCUGUAACAUGGGAGACUUUGACUAAUAAACUGUACUAAUUUUCCCGACCAAAAAUUCUAGAAAAAAAUAUGUAGAUGGGAAUAUGAGUCUAGUUUCAGGGAAAAAUUACAAAACUGAUUUUCGAGAUGUGAAACUCAAGAUAUGAUUUUUAAGGUGACAGUGACGCAGUUAGCCAACUGCCUGGAAAAUUUUAAAAUGGACUGCGAUAGUAACCAAAAUUAGUCUGUGAACCCCUCGUGUCCGACUCCGGCAACGGUCUCGGGUACGGGGUGUUACAAUUUUAUUGGUAUCAGAGCGACGGUUUAGUCGAUUCUAGGACUAACGUAGCACGCGUGAGUCUAUUUAUACAUGCCAUAAAGUGAUAAAAUGAUAGUGUGAUGAUUUUUGGCUAUUAAAAUGUGUUUGCUGUAUUGCAAUGAAUCUUGAUCCCGAUCGAGCUGUAGCAAGCUUCUGACAAUGAGAAUUUGCGAUAUAACUUCACUUAGAUAUGCCUAAAUUAUUAAGUUGAUCAGGUACGUAUCAUGUACUCGUAUUUGAAUUUCGAUUUGGAUUGGAUUAUAAGGGUAUAAGUGAUGCAAUUUUGAAAGAGUGUUAUGACUAUAAAUGUGAUUUUUGUAUGUGGCUAUGGAACUGGAAGUUGAAUGGUCGAUAAGCAUGUUGUGUUUGCAUUCAAGUAAUGUAAAUGAUAUACUAAUGUGUAUUGCUAUAUGUGUAUAUGUACAUGAGAAUUGAGAGUGAUAUAUCCGGGCUAAGUCCCGAAGAGCAUUCGUGCUAGUGAUAUAUCCGGGCUAAGCCCCGAGGAGCAUUCGUGCUAGUGAUAUAUCCGGGCUAAGCCCCAAAGAGCAUUCGUGCUAGUGAUAUAACCGGGCUAAGUCCCGAAGAGCAUUCAUGCUAGUGAUGUAUCUGGGCUAAGUUCCGAAGAGCAUUCGUGCUAGUGAGGUAUCCGGACUAAGUUCCGAAGAGCAUUCGUGCUGGUGUUAUAUCCGGGCUAGGUCCCAAAGAGCAAUCAUGCUGGUGACGUGUAUUCGGGCCUUCGUGCCUAGUAGGCUUCGUGCCGGUAAUUUGAGCAAAGUUUAAGUGCUCAUUACUAUACAAAUUCAAAUUUAAAUGAGAUGAUAUGUUUAAAAGUGUACAUACAUGAUGUUUAUAGACUUGGUUAAGUCAUAUCAAUGUGUAUUAAUGAAUGAAUAAGAGCGCUAUGUAUGUGAAUAAUUAGAGGCACUGUGUGUGUGCAAAUUUCUUUAACCGAGCACUAUGAGUGCGAGAUCGGUCAGUGGGCACUAAGUGUGUGAAGUGGAAUUCAUGUAAGACCUCGUUUGGGACGAAGGCAUUGAUUUGAGAUAGUGUGUAAGACCAUGUCUGGGACAUGGCAUCGGCUCGAUAUGUGAGAAUAUGUAAGACCAUAUCUAGGAUAUGGCAUUGUAAGAGCUAUAUGUGCUAUUGCUGAAUGGACACUAUUUUGUUAAUCUUGUUCAAGAAAUUAUUUUGGUUAAGUUUCGACAUUCGAAAGUUUGAAAGAAUUUUUGAUGAAUGUUGAUAAUUUUGGAUAUACGAGUUAUGUGCUAGAAUAAAUCUCAUGCCAGUGUAUUAUAUUAGGCUUUAUGCCUAUUCGACUGUAUACGGGUAACGUUAACUAUGAUUGAAUGUGCUAAAUGAACUAAAUGUUCAGGUACGUGGAAGUUGACUUUUCUUUUGGAAAUGAGUUUAGUUGAAUAUUGAGACGUGAUAAAGUUAUAAAGGAUAUUUACUGGGAUGUUUGAGUAUAUGUGUACUUUCGGCUAGGUUACAGCUUAUUCAUGAAUGAAUAUGUGGGUUGACGAUGUGAAUUAUACAUGUUAAUAUGUGCCUAAUAUGUGUUUGAAAUGCAUUUGUGAAUUAAAUUAAGUGAUUAUUGCUUAUGAAAUCAAGAAAAUGAGAUAUAUGUGCAUACUUGUAGAAAUGUUUAUGUAUUUGUUUUAAGAUAAGAAAAUGAUUCUAUAGAUCGAUGCGAAAUCAGUAACGAAUUACAAUUGCUAUCGAUGAGCUAAUGUUUUAUGGAUAUAAUUCAAUAAGAGGACGUUAUCCUAAACUAUGCAUCAGUAGAAAUUUUCGAGGACGAAAAUCCCUAAAGGGGAAGAGAGUUGUGACACCCCUAAUUUGACCCUAGUCGAAAGUGGUUUUGGAACCCCAAAACUGAGUCACAAAAAUAAUCAGAUGUUAUAUUCUGUGCUUAUUGAAUGUGGAAUUUGUAUGUGCGAAUAUUUCGUGCCUUGAUUUUAUCAAGGCGGUGUUAAUUUAUAAGAAAGGACCCAUGUGAUAAGACUUGAAAAUGUGAUAGGUGAAAUUUAAAGUGGCCAAAUAAUGCAUGAGUUAUUGACAUGAGGGACUUGCAUGUCAAAUGGACCACUUUUAAUUAGUGGCCGGCCAUAAUGAUAGUUGAUAGAUAUUAUAUGCAUUUUAUUUUAGCAUGAUAAUAGUUAAUGGCUUUAUAUUAUGGAAGAAAGAAUAAUUAAAAGAAGGAAAGAGUGAUAGAAACAAGGUAUGUCCAUCUUUCUUUUCCCCAUUACCGUAACUAGUGAAAGAAAAAAAAAGGAGAAGAAGAAGCCAAGGCAUUCGGCCAUGGUUAGUUCAUAAAUCAAAGGUAUGUUAAUGUGAUUUUUAUGUAAUUGUUCAUGAAUUUAAACCAUAGUGCAUGUGUGAAAAUUUGAUGUUUUAAUUUAGACUUAUGAAGGUGAAUUUCAUGUGAUUAACUUAGUUGAGAACCUAAGAAAAUAUGAUAGGGGAAUAUGUAAGGAUCAAAUGAUAACAAAGUGAGGAAACUUGGGUUUGCAUGUCAAAUCACCCAAACCUCAAGUAGUGGCCGGCCAAGCAAGGAUGGUUCUUCGAUUAAGUUGAAUUUUUAAUGAUGCUUUUAUUAGUAAAUGAUUAAAAUAGAUCAAAAAAAAAAAAGAAAGGGGAAUAAAAUAAGAAAGCAAGAGAAAGUCUUCAUCUUCUUUCUUUUCUUGAAGUGCUGUGAGCUAGGGAAGGAGGGGAGACUUCAUUGUUUUUGGGUUCUAGCCGAAACUAAAGAAAGAAAAAGGGGAAAGUGUUUUGGGAAUGUUCGGUCUUUUGGAGGCCAAUUUCUAAGGUAAUUUCAUUGUAAUUUUGUUAAAUUUUGAUGAAUACGAGCUUCACUUCUUUAUCUAGCCGAAACCCAUUUGCUAAUUUUGGUCUAAGUGGCGUAUUAAGUUCGGUUCAUGUGUUUUUGAGCUAGGGAUUUGUUUUUAAAGUUAAAAGUUGCUGGAUAAGUGUUGGAUGGACUUGAUAAUGUUAAAAUUAUUGAGUGUGUAAAGUUAUAAGUUUAGUUUAUGAUUGGGAGCUUAAAUUUAGCUCAAAUUUAACUCAAUUUCUUAUAUUAAGCAUUUCGGCUAUGGUGUGGAUUGCAUAAAAUUUGAAGUAUUUGAUGUUUGAGAGUUCUAAAUAGUUAAUUAUUAAGUGAGGCUUAGUAAUUUUGUGUUAAAGAUGAAUUUCAUUACUAAAAGUGGUAUUCGGCUAUGUGGCAUUGUGUUAAAUUUUGGAUGUUGUUUUUUUAAUUUUAAAUUGACUAUUAAGUAAGCUUUAAGGUUGUUAAAUGGUAAAAAGAGACUUGAGAGUGAUGUUUAGGUAGCUUUCGGCCUUAUAGUGAAUUAUGAUUGUUAAAGGAUGGACUUAAGUUGUGUAUAUGGGAUUUAACCUUGCCGAUUAUGUGUUAACAAGGUGAAAAUGGUUAUGUUGCGUUAAUAGAGUGCCGAAUGUGAAUUUGGUGUUAAGCUAUAUUUGAAUACUUGGUUGAAUGAUUUUUGAUAUACCCGAAAUAAGGUGCAUGAAUUAUGGAUUAGUAAUGAUUUGAAUUUGUUUAAAUCUAGCUCAAGAACAAAGGACACCAACUUCGGAUAGGGGAAAAGAGAAAGUAGUUGAAUAGCCGAUUUGUACUAAGUCGAUCAAAUUCAAGGUAAGUUUUUAAGUAUUUGAGUUUGAUUCCUUUGUAAGUUUUAAGUGUUUAAACGUUGAGUAAAUUCAAUUAUAAUAGGACAUGAUGAGUAUUUGAUAAGAUAUGAUGUGGCCAUGAUAUGUUCUAAGCUCAAGUGGUAAGUUCUUAAGUGUUUGAGCUUGGGAAUUUAAGGGUAAUUUGAAAUAGUCUGCUUUGGACAGCAGCAGUAACGUGACUUUAGAAAAUCACCAUAAAUUUAUGGACUUGAAUUAGAGGCUGAAUGAGACAUUAAAUUAAAUCUUAAUGAGUCUAGUUUCUUAUAAAAGAAACCGUGUAAGCAAAGGAAUUUCCGAUAAUGAGAUAUUUAAAGUUGUGUGAGACGGUAUCAGAAUGACUCCGAAAUCCCCUGUUCUGUUUUUAGAAAAUCAUUAUAAAUUGUACAAAAAUGGUUAUAAGAUAAAAUUUAUAUGCUUAGACUCCUUAAUGAGUCUAGUUUCAAAUGAAAUCAAAUACAACACAUUUUGAAUUCUGUAAAACGAGAAAUCUGAUUUGUAGUGAAGAGUGGUCAGAUUAAUCAAACAGUGAAACAGGGGAAACUUUAAGAAAAAUCUGGUAUUGAUUGGCCAAACCUAAAAUUCUGGAAAUUUUAUGGGUGGAAGAUAUACGAGUCUAUAUUUAGGAAAAAUUAACGGAAAGUGAUUUGGAGUUUUGUAGCUCCAGUUAUAAAUAAUUUAGUGACUAUUGCUCAGGAAAAACAGCUUGUGCUGAAUUUGAGAUUAUGUUGUGAACCUUGAUAAACUUGUUUUAGUUGCUCACAAGCUAUUGAUUAAACCCAUACUUGAAUUCUAAAUCGUGAUAUUGUAAGUUCUUGAGUAAUAGAGCUUAAAUUAUGAUUUGAUUAGAUCAUGUUUUAAGCAAAUCAAAAUCAUGCUCUUUGUGUGUGGCUAUUGAGCCGAAAUUUCAAGAAUGAUAAGUGUCUUGUGUUUGAGUUUUGCUAACGAAAAUGAAAUACGAAUGUGCCAUGAUUUAUUGUUAAAUGUGCAUGGUUAUUUGAAUGAUGUCUGGGCUAAGUCCCGAAGGCUUUGUGCUAAGUGACCAUAUCCAGACUAAGAUCCGAAGGCAUUUGUGCGAGUUACUAUAACCGGGCUAUGUCCCGAAGGCAUUUGAACGAGUAGCUAUAUCCGGUUAAAUUCCGAAGGUAUGUGAUUUGGGAUGGAAUGAUCUUGCUGUAAAAAUUUCAGUUAAUACGCUUGAAACAUCCCAACAUUGAGGUAUAUUUCGUAUGUGCUUUGAAUUAGUUGAGCCCUUACAAAUAAGUAUUCGCUCAGUUGAUAAAUGAGCUACCGGCAUUUGGCUAAGUUGAUCUUUGUGUAUGAAUAAAUGGGUUGGUAAUGUGAAAGUGUAUAUAUGUGAUAAGGCCUAAUGGCCGAUGUGAUGAAUGUGAAAGUGUAUAUAUGUGAUAAGGCCGAAUGGCCAAUGUGAUGAAUGUGAAAGUGUAUAUAUGUGAUAAGGCCGAAUGGCCGAUGUGAUGAAUGUGAUAGUGUAUAUAUGUGAUAAGGCCUAAUGGCCGAUGUGAUGAAUGCGAUAGUGUAUAUAUGUGAUAAGGCCUAAUGGUCGAUGUGAUGAAUGUGAUAGUGUAUAUAUGUGAUAAGGCCUAAUGGCCGAUGUGAUGAAUGUGAAAGUGUAUAUAUGUGAUAAGGCCUAAUGGCCGAUGUGAUGAAUGUGAAAGUGUAUAUAUGUGACAGGGCCGACUGGCCAACGUGAUGGAUGUGAAAGUGUAUAAAUGUGAUAAGUCCCGAAGGGCAUUUGUGUCAGUACUAUAUCCGGGUUAAAACCCCACAGGCUUUAUGCGAGAAUAUUAUCACUGAUUAAUGUCCGUAAGCUUCGUGCUCGUACUAUAUCCGAGCUCUAAAGACCCGAUGACUACGUGUGGAGAUUAUGUCCGGGUAAGACUUCGUAAUAAGAAUUGCUUAUAAAUAUAUUCAAUGCGAAAGGUUAAACAGGUAUGUACUCCAAGUUAAUAUGUGAGCUUGAUUUGCACUAAAUCAUAAGGUAGUUAUGUGAUGCAUAUGAGAGCAAUCUAUGAGACUAUUCCUAUGAUUAUGUGACAUCGGAUCAGUGUGAGAGGUGAUGUGAAAUCAUACGAUAUAUCUAUGUCACAUGAGCUCACUUUUAUGUGAAAGUUUAUCUGCCUAUUGUAUAUGAUGAGACGUGCAUAUUCGGUAAAAGGGAUGGUAUGCCCGAAGGAAGAGUGAAAUAAAAAUACGAACAACUAUGUUAUAAUUUGAUUGUUAUCUGUUGACACUGGUUAAAACAUACUAAGCAUUGUAAUGCUUACUCCGUUUACUCUGUUUCCUCUGUUUUAUAGAUCUCAUUGCGAAGCUACAGGCUCGGGGAUCGUCAGCAACUAGUCACACUAUCACUAUCCACUGUUUGGUACUGCUAUGUUUUGGAUUAUCUUAUGGCAUGUAUAAAAUAGACUAGUGGCGGAAGAAUAUUUUGGUUAAUGUAUAUAGCCAUGCGAAAAUGGCUUAUAUAUGUUUGAGCGUAAUGUUAUAAUCAUUUGGUAUGGAAUGGUUAAUCACUAUCAUAAUUUGUGCUAUUUAUGCUAAAAGGGCUAGUUGAAUCAUGGAAACUAUGAAAUAGGUAAAGUCUACCUUAAAGGCAGAUGCUGGCAGCAGCA
RNAcentral lists this long non-coding RNA (7178 nucleotides) under Gossypium barbadense (sea-island cotton). RNAcentral describes it as "long non-coding RNA (GBAR_LNC010296)". Lineage: Eukaryota; Viridiplantae; Streptophyta; Magnoliopsida; Malvales; Malvaceae. The record is from RNAcentral.